CUAUGUGCGGAAGGGAUAAGUGCUGAAAGCAUCUAAGCAUGAAGCCCCCCUCAAGAUGAGAUUUCCCAUAGCGUAAGCUAGUAAGAUCCCUGAAAGAUGAUCAGGUUGAUAGGUUCGAGGUGGAAGCGUGGUGACAUGUGGAGCUGACGAAUACUAAUAGAUCGAGGACUUAACCAUAUAA
This 181-nucleotide ribosomal RNA is filed under the name Bacillus cereus. Its description in RNAcentral is "partial 23S ribosomal RNA". It matches the Rfam family "Bacterial large subunit ribosomal RNA", at positions 2749 to 2925 of the family's 2925-position model. The record is from RNAcentral. RNAcentral also lists the same sequence under 6 other names. Lineage: Bacteria; Bacillati; Bacillota; Bacilli; Caryophanales; Bacillaceae.